RNAcentral lists this ribosomal RNA (425 nucleotides) under uncultured bacterium. RNAcentral's name for it is "bacterial SSU rRNA". It matches the Rfam family "Bacterial small subunit ribosomal RNA", at positions 359 to 776 of the family's 1533-position model. The record is from RNAcentral.
GAAUAUUGGACAAUGGGCGCAAGCCUGAUCCAGCAAUGCCGCGUGUGUGAAGAAGGCCUUCGGGUUGUAAAGCACUUUUAUCAGGAAAGAAAUCCGCUGGGUUAAUACCUUGGCGGGAUGACGGUACCUGAGGAAUAAGCACCGGCUAACUUCGUGCCAGCAGCCGCGGUAAUACGAAGGGUGCAAGCGUUAAUCGGAAUUACUGGGCGUAAAGCGCGCGUAGGUGGUUCAGUAAGUUGGAUGUGAAAUCCCCGGGCUCAACCUGGGAACUGCAUCCAAAACUGCUGAGCUAGAGUACGGUAGAGGGUGGUGGAAUUUCCUGUGUAGCGGUGAAAUGCGUAGAUAUAGGAAGGAACACCAGUGGCGAAGGCGACCACCUGGACUGAUACUGACACUGAGGUGCGAAAGCGUGGGGAGCAAACAGG